RNAcentral lists this small RNA (173 nucleotides) under Streptomyces incarnatus. Its description in RNAcentral is "c-di-AMP sequence". It matches the Rfam family "c-di-AMP riboswitch aptamer (ydaO/yuaA leader)". From Rfam's summary of the family: This family represents a conserved RNA structure found upstream of the ydaO and yuaA genes in Bacillus subtilis and related genes in other bacteria. The ydaO/yuaA element is thought to act as a genetic "off" switch for the ydaO and yuaA genes in its native state. It is believed that the element may be triggered during osmotic shock leading to activation of ydaO, a predicted amino acid transporter gene, and members of the yuaA-yubG operon which code for KtrA and KtrB K+ transporters. Lineage: Bacteria; Bacillati; Actinomycetota; Actinomycetes; Kitasatosporales; Streptomycetaceae. The record is from RNAcentral.
UCGCGUCAAGCGCCGCAGGCAGGAGCGGGGGACCCAAGGUAAGCGCCGGGCCCAGCGGUUGACGCUGGACCGGCUAGGGGUGAAGCCGCACCUCGGACAAGCGAGUGUGCGGCCGGGCAACUCAACCGGCCCGAACCCGACAGCUCACCUCGCAGGCGUCGGUGAGGGGAUCG